GUGGCCUUAUCAUGUUGGAAAACACCAGGUUCCUCUACAAUCCCCAAAGUUAAGCAACGUCGAGCCUGAUCAGUACCUAGAUGGGUGACUGCUUGGGAAUACCAGAUGCU
This 110-nucleotide ribosomal RNA is filed under the name Acanthosepion pharaonis. The record is from RNAcentral. Lineage: Eukaryota; Metazoa; Mollusca; Cephalopoda; Sepiida; Sepiidae.